CAGCAGCCGCGGGAAAACGUAGGGUGCAAGCGUUAAUCGGAAUUACUGGGCGUAAAGCGUGCGCAGGCGGUUGUGUAAGACAGGUGUGAAAUCCCCGGGCUUAACCUGGGAAUUGCAUUUGUGACUGCACGACUAGAGUGUGUCAGAGGGGGGUGGAAUUCCACGUGUAGCAGUGAAAUGCGUAGAUAUGUGGAGGAACACCAAUGGCGAAGGCAGCCCCCUGGGAUAACACUGACGCUCAUGCACGAAAGCGUGGGGAGCAAACAGGAUUAGAGACCCCUGUAGUCCCUGUCUCUUAUAC
RNAcentral lists this ribosomal RNA (301 nucleotides) under uncultured bacterium. RNAcentral's name for it is "partial 16S ribosomal RNA". It matches the Rfam family "Bacterial small subunit ribosomal RNA", at positions 509 to 807 of the family's 1533-position model. The record is from RNAcentral.